Molecule: ribosomal RNA, 497 nt
Filed under: uncultured bacterium
Lineage: Bacteria
Description: partial 16S ribosomal RNA
Rfam family: Bacterial small subunit ribosomal RNA
Source: RNAcentral
GAUGAACGCUGGCGGCGUGCCUAAUACAUGCAAGUCGAGCGAACAGACGAGGAGCUUGCUCCUCUGACGUUAGCGGCGGACGGGUGAGUAACACGUGGAUAACCUACCUAUAAGACUGGGAUAACUUCGGGAAACCGGAGCUAAUACCGGAUAAUAUAUUGAACCGCAUGGUUCAAUAGUGAAAGACGGUUUUGCUGUCACUUAUAGAUGGAUCCGCGCCGCAUUAGCUAGUUGGUAAGGUAACGGCUUACCAAGGCAACGAUGCGUAGCCGACCUGAGAGGGAGAUCGGCCACACUGGAACUGAGACACGGUCCAGACUCCUACGGGAGGCAGCAGUAGGGAAUCUUCCGCAAAGGGCGAAAGCUUGACGGAGCAACGCCGCGUGAGUGAUGAAGGUCUUCGGAUCGUAAAACUCUGUUAUUAGGGAAGAACAAAUGUGUAAGUAACUAUGCACGUCUUGACGGUACCUAAUCAGAAAGCCACGGCUAACUACGUG